Molecule: ribosomal RNA, 306 nt
Filed under: Finegoldia magna ALB8
Lineage: Bacteria; Bacillati; Bacillota; Tissierellia; Tissierellales; Peptoniphilaceae
Description: partial 16S ribosomal RNA
Rfam family: Bacterial small subunit ribosomal RNA
Source: RNAcentral
AAUGGUUGGUACAGAGGGCAGCUAUAUAGUGAUAUAAUGCAAAACUCGAAAGCCAAUCCCAGUUCGGAUUGUAGGCUGCAACUCGCCUACAUGAAGUCGGAGUUGCUAGUAAUCGCGGAUCAGAAUGUCGCGGUGAAUGCGUUCCCGGGUCUUGUACACACCGCCCGUCACACCAUGGGAGUUGAUAAUACCCGAAGCCUGUGACCUAAUUGAGGAGCAGUCGAAGGUAGGAUUGAUGACUGGGGUGAAGUCGUAACAAGGUAGCCGUAUCGGAAGGUGCGGCUGGAUCACCUCCUUUCUAAGGAG